GAUGAACGCUGGCGGCGUGCCUAAUACAUGCAAGUCGAGCGAACGGACGAGAAGCUUGCUUCUCUGAUGUUAGCGGCGGACGGGUGAGUAACACGUGGAUAACCUACCUAUAAGACUGGGAUAACUUCGGGAAACCGGAGCUAAUACCGGAUAAUAUUUUGAACCGCAUGGUUCAAAAGUAAAAGACGGUCUUGCUGUCACUUAUAGAUGGAUCCGCGCUGCAUUAGCUAGUUGGUAAGGUAACGGCUUACCAAGGCAACGAUGCAUAGCCGACCUGAGAGGGUGAUCGGCCACACUGGAACUGAGACACGGUCCAGACUCCUACGGGAGGCAGCAGUAGGGAAUCUUCCGCAAUGGGCGAAAGCCUGACGGAGCAACGCCGCGUGAGUGAUGAAGGUCUUCGGAUCGUAAAACUCUGUUAUUAGGGAAGAACAUAUGUGUAAGUAACUGAGCACAUCUUGGCGGUACCUAAUCAGAAAGCCACGGCUAACUACGUG
Molecule: ribosomal RNA, 497 nt
Filed under: uncultured bacterium
Lineage: Bacteria
Description: partial 16S ribosomal RNA
Rfam family: Bacterial small subunit ribosomal RNA
Source: RNAcentral